GUGAGGAAUUUUGCGCAAUGGGGGCAACCCUGACGCAGCGACGCCGCGUGGAGGACGAAGUCUUUCAGGAUGUAAACUCCUGUCAGUGGGGACGAUAAUGACGGUACCCACAGAGGAAGCACCGGCUAACUCCGUGCCAGCAGCCGCGGUAAGACGGAGGGUGCAAGCGUUGUUCGGAAUUACUGGGCGUAAAGCGUAUGUAGGCGGCAAGUUAAGUUCAAUGUUAAAGCCCACGGCUCAACCGAGGAGAUGCAUUGAAUACUGGCUAGCUAGAGGGUGUUAGAGGAAGACGGAAUUCCCAGUGUAGCGGUGAAAUGCGUAGAUAUUGGGAGGAACAUCGGUAGCGAAAGCGGUCUUCUGGGACAUACCUGACGCUGAGGUACGAAAGCGUGGGGAGCAAACGGGAUUAGAUACCCUAGUAGUCC
This 425-nucleotide ribosomal RNA is filed under the name uncultured bacterium. Its description in RNAcentral is "partial 16S ribosomal RNA". It matches the Rfam family "Bacterial small subunit ribosomal RNA", at positions 354 to 796 of the family's 1533-position model. The record is from RNAcentral.